Molecule: RNA transcript, 4715 nt
Organism: Equus quagga
Lineage: Eukaryota; Metazoa; Chordata; Mammalia; Perissodactyla; Equidae
Gene: C1H3orf62
Gene name: chromosome 1 C3orf62 homolog
Exons: 4
Source: RefSeq, a predicted model, not a curated record
CUCGGACGGAGCUCUCAACUCGGAGCUCUCAACGUGUCUGGCCUCCUCACCCUGCCGAGGCCUCGCAGGUCACCCCCACCCCACCCCUAUCCGCGUAGGCCCGAUCCCGUGUUCUCAGCCGCCUCCCUCCGCCUGCGGGGCCCUUGCUUCCCCUCCGGGCUGCUGGCGUGUAGGUUUAAAGCAGACGGUCGUCCGGGCUUUUUUGUCUGACCUUUAACCUGAGCCGUGGGGGUUGGGGCCGCUGGUCUUGGGCACGCGCGAUCGAUCAUUCGGGGCGCGUGUGGUGACCGUUGGCCGGGGCUGCGGCGUGGUCAAGCUGCUCGGUGAGGACGCGGCUGCCGACCUCCUGUCCGAGGGCUGGCUGCAGGGUGCGGGUGGGGUGGGCUCAGGUCCUGAGAGCCGAAGGGGCUGAGGGAUGAACGUCCGGGCGGCAGCGGGCGGCAGGGGGAGGCGGGGCUGGGCGUCCCUGGGGCUACUGCCCGGUCGCCAGUUCUCGGAGAACCGCAGGCCACACCCGCCUACAAGGGGUGGGCAGAGUGUGGGUUCCCCUGCUCUCUGGCCGUUAGCGUGGAUCAAGCACAAGGAAAUAAUGGCAAAUACCUUAUUCGGGGUGGUUUACAACCUCAUCUGUAACAUUCUCGUGUUGCCCGCUGCAUUUCCAAUGUAUUACAUAAUAAGGACAUGGUCGCUUUUAGGAGAAAUGUCUGAAAAACUGAGAAGAUGCAGAAAGGAGCUGACCGCAGCCAUUGACCGGGCCUUUGAAGGAGUCAGUCAUUCCCAGGAGUGCUCAGGCCAGCCGAGGCUGGAGCUGGACACGGCGCCGCUUUCCUUCCACCUCCCCGUGCACCGGCUUCUCUGCAGGAGGCAGCCGCUUGCAGCCUGCUCUCCUGCUGCUCCCUUUGCUCCUGUCCUGUGUGCUCCAGAGAAUGAGAGCCCUGCCUUUGCCCCAAACCAUGCCCCAAUGAAUGCAAAGCCACAGGCUUUAUGCCCCAAAAGAAAACCUCUGACCAGCAAGGAAAACGUAUUGUUGCAUUCCUCCAUUUUGGCACCCGAAAGACAGUUUUGGAGAGCGACAGGAGAUGGGGAGAACUGGAGAAAAGACAGUAUAAGCUUCAGGGAAGAUAUGGAGAAAGAUUUGAAGGUUGACUCAAACAUGCCACUCAGCACUUCUAGCCAAGAGGUCACAAAGGAUCUGCUUGAUAUGAUCGACCAUACAAGUAUCCGAACUAUUGAAGAAUUGGCUGGAAAACUAGAAUUUGAAAAUGAGUUGAACCGUGUGUGUGGUCACUGUGAGGAUUCGCCCUUCAAGGAGGAAGCCUGGGCUCUGCUUGUGGACGAGAGCCCUCAGAAGGCCUCGGAUGCUGACCCUGGCAGCCUCAAGCAGGCUUUUGAUGAUCACAAUAUCGUUGAGACUGUUCUGGACAUGGAAGAGGACUACAACUUGAUGACCUCUUUUAAAUACCAAAUUGAGUAAGGGCAGUUGACCUUGGCUUUGAUUCUUUGCAGCAGGAGGCUGAUGUUAAGGCGUCUGUACAGAAGCAGUCACAGUCAUCAUCAGCUGCCAUAGUUUUUAAACGUUCAUCUUGGCAAGCCAAACAAUCACUGAAUUGUUUCCGUGGAAACACCAAACUGCAGUUUGGAUUAGCAGAAUCAAAAUAGAAACAAGACAGCUUCAAGAAUAAAUAGGAGCUUUGGAACCUGCUAGGCGCAAACUGCAAAUUCAAGCCCUUGCACAAGGCAUGUGCGAAGUUGGGCCGUGCAGCCCCAUAAGGAGAGAUUUCUAGGUCCCCUGGCUGCAUCCCUCUGGUGUCAGUGCCAGAGCCCUAGGAACCAGCUAUGUAUACAGACUGGUAGGCUGACUUUGUAACAAUACUUAAGGCAGAAGUUCAUCUGUAGAAGCUCCUUGGAGAGAGGAUUGGGGCUGGAGGGGAAGACUGAGGAAGAAGGGACCGGAAAAAGGAGAUGAGUGAAUGGCUGAGUGAAGAUCCAGCAAGGACUAGAGAGCCACAGGCGAGGCCUGAGAACAGAGCAACAAUCCUAUCAAAAGGACAAUUCGAAGUUGGCCAUGGGUUGGGAAUGGUAAUCCUACCUUCAGCUCUGUCCACAAUUGCAGUGUUCCCCACAUUCCUGGGUAUGGCUAUCUAGCCACACGGGUCUAGACAAGAGUCUGAACUCUUGCCAGGUGCACUCUUGGGGCACUUCUGGUUAGUAUGCCUCUGCCCCGUAUGACUCCAGCCAGCACAAUAGGGCACUAAGGCCCAGCUUCUCAUCUCUGGCUCUCAGGGUUCCCCUUCCCCUGCCUCUUGUUCCCCUCACUAGGGGAAGAGGGAAGCCACCUUCUGACCUACCUGCCCUGGCCCCUUGGCAUUCUCCUGGAUCCUCCACUUCCAAUCCCAGAGAAGACUCCAAGGGGAUCAGGAAGAAGGAGACAGACAACCCGGGAGCCUGUGCUCCUCACCUUUGCACCCAGGAAUGUGCCAAUAGGGCAGCAGCACCAUCCUGCCACUGGAGAAGUUGUAAACUGCUAAUGUUCAAAGAAACUGGUGAAAAGGAUUUGCAAAAGAAGCCUAAUUCAGGCCAAUCUCCCUCCUCCUGAAUGGCCAGGCCAGGGCUCACCUGGGACCAGAGUGGUACCUCCUCUAACUGAGGCACAAGACGUUUAACAUGCCUGUGAAGACCAGUGAAUGAGGCAUACCAACAAAGGAGGCCACUGUACCUGAUUGUAGACAAUUACUGAAAAGGUUCUCAUCCUGAGUCUAUCUGAGGCUCUGGCAAUUUACUUUCUCCCUGGAGUAUGUGGGAGAACAUUAAUUUAAUUUUACGUUCCAGCUAAAUAUUUAUAGAAGGAACAAAGUUUUACUCAGGAAAUCUACUUGACAAUGGGUCCCAGCUGUAGUGGGAAAGGCCUCUCUGUGCUAGGCCAGCUGGAAAAUGCCUGAUUUAAUGAAGAGUUUUGGCCUAAGGCCUGGCUUGAAAAAAUUUUCAAACCUGCUCAACCCUUACAGGAAGUAACUAUCUUUUUGAGGGCAGAAAGGCUGCUGUUUUCUGGGCACUUUGAGUGGAGAGGGGUUGCUGGGAGCUGGCCUGGGAGAGAGAAGUGGGCAUCUUGCAGGAGACCCCACAUCAGGAGCCCUUUGCAGCUUCUGAGACAAAACAUGAAAAAGAGAAGUUGUAAAGGAAUGCUAGAGAGACCAGACUUUCAGGACAGGGCUGCAAGGAGCUGUUUGAAUGAAAAGCAAGCAAUCUCUGCCCUCAAUAAGUAUUUAUCAAGUGUCUACUAGAGUGUCAGACACUCUCUUGGGUGCUGAGGAUACAGCAGGGACAAGGCAGAUGCUGCUCUUGCUUCUGGAGUUUAUAUUCCACAUGGCAAGGCUGGUAAAACACAAGUAUAUGCAUUAGUACAUCAUUUCAGAUGGAGUUGUAUGAGAAAAAAUAGGGUAAGGGGAUGGACAGUGAGUAGGGAGAGUUCCUUCAGAAGAGGAGAGGUCAGGAAAAGGCCUCUAUAGGUGACAAACUGAUACUCGAAUGUCAGGACAAUUAGGUGCUGCAGCUGACUUGAUUUCCAUCCUCAGACAGCUGGAAUUGUAUCAGAGGGAGGAGCCCCUAGGUGGCUCUCUGGGCCCUAGGCCAAUAAACCUCCCACAUCCACCCUGUGUAGCCACAUCUCUAUCAGCAUCUGAAGAGCCAAAAACAUUGCACACUCCAGGGAUGUGCCUGGGCUAUGUCACGCUCAUCAAAUCUGGCAGGAACACAGUAGUUAAAAAAAUAAUAAUAAAAAAUUAAAAGCCUUAGGAAUAAAAUAAGAAACAGAAUAUCCUUUCCUGAUGAUUGCCAGAGACAGGCAGUGUAAUUUUAAUUAACCCAGCCUGGUUAGGAGAUAAAUUUACUGCUCAUUCUACAAAAACACCCAGUUCAUGGAACACUGAGUCACUCUGACCUUUGACUUCAUUACACAAAAUGAAAUACUUCUAAAGAAAUACAGGAUUUCAUAACUCACAGAAGAACAGAGGGUCCUGCUUUGGCAUUCCAAAGUCGAACAGACCCUUCAAUGAGAAGGCCACAGUCAUAAAUACUAAUGGAGUUCUCUCAACAGGGUCUCAACUUUGAAUUAAAAUUAUUAAACUUUUCAACUUAGGGUAGUAAAAGAUUUCCAGAUACAGACUCCUCUCGUCUACAAGCCUUAUUCUAACCCCUCGACAGCUACUUGUAGUCAGUAUGGGAAGGGCUGAAAGGAACCUUUUGCAUGGCUGGGCUCCUUCCUCCUGUGCCUUCCUUGCACAAGCAGAGAACACCAGGAGGCAAGGCAGUGAAGGCUGGGUGUACAGACAUCCAGUGAGGCCCACAGGGAGAGAAGAGGCCAGGGCAGCCUGAGGCAGAGCCCAAGUGUGUACUUGUCCUUGGCCUCAGAGAAGGCUGCUGCCAUUCCCUGUGGCUCCCAGCUACAGGUCACAGGAGGCCCUUAGUCUGGAAAUGAGAGUGAGAGCUUAGGCUGGUGCCUGGUACCCUUGCCAAAGGUGUCCCAGGCAAAUUAAACUCCCCCAGACUUUGGUGGGAUACACACCCCUGAAAAUAAAAUAAAAAUAAGAAAUCAACCAUUGCUUUCACUCAGAGGCCCCAAUGUCAUUUACUGUACUGGUUUGAAAAUGGGGAAAUUCUGGAAACUGUCCAUCUCAUGAGAAUUUUUACUGUCAUAGAAUAAAGAAAAAGAAAAACAA